RNAcentral lists this long non-coding RNA (3123 nucleotides) under Fragaria vesca (wild strawberry). RNAcentral describes it as "long non-coding RNA (FVES_LNC003177)". Lineage: Eukaryota; Viridiplantae; Streptophyta; Magnoliopsida; Rosales; Rosaceae. The record is from RNAcentral.
AAAUAUAAAAACUUAUUAUUUCCUUUGUACUUUGUAUAUCUCAAUUUUUCUACCAUUCAAAUUUACAUGGUUAAGCAUAAUUUAUUUGGUUAACAACCGACUGCAAGAACAUCGAAAGGGAGGACUUGACAGGUCAUCAUUGAAGAUGCCAAGUGGACGUGGAUGAGUGUCUCCGAUCCAUCUCAUCACGCCGUGUGGAUGAAUGUCUACGUUACAAAUCAGCUACACACCUACCUGUUCUUGCUGAGGUCUCGAAUACCAUCGUUACAAGUACUAAGAGAUUUUUUUCGACUGGAACAAGUACUAAGAGAUUAUGAUACAGAAUUUAUGAAUAGAACGUUAACAAUUAAGGAAGGCAGAUGUCGGUAGAGUACCACUGCCUGACCCUUGCGGUGUCUUUGUCCUUAGCAGGCAACAAUGGCUUUGUGCAGCAGCCUAUAUAUGCACACGUACGUAACAGUACGUUAUCUUAGCUUUCUAUUAUAGCACCUGGCUCGUUCAUUUCUCUCUAGCUCCGAGUGUACACUUCAAUGGCUUCUAAGUCCCAAGAGAACUACAUCGAUGGAGGACUUGAAGAGAGAAGAAGAUGGUGAUGAACAGUUCAGCUACAUGCUCUUCUUACCAGAGAAGGGAAGCCUCUGGGACUUGUUUAGGUACGCCGUUUUGGGGGACAUAGACAAUGGGGCUCAGUUCUCAGUUCCUGGAGAGCUCGGAGAAAGAGAUGGUGGCAUGCGUGGCUCAAGAGCUUAGAUGGGGCAUGGUGGUCAUCCUAGCAUUCCGCAAAUUCGCAGCUCUUUUUGGGAAGUCAUUGAAUUUGAGUGGCAACGUUGUCGACUUCCUUCUGAACUUGCUCUCUCUCAAUGGGAACCUCUUUGGCUUGCUUUGCAAUCUUCUCCAUGGUAACUAAAGAUAAACCCUUUUACAACUAUUUUAUGUCAUCACUUAUGUUUUGGUUGUGCUUCACUACUAAGCAUGGAUAUAGUUCAAAAAUGGUUCCCUUUUGGAAUUCUUUGUUCAUACAUUCUAUUAAGAAGUUGUGUGACUUGUGUCUACUUACAUAGUUACAUAUGCAUUCAUCCAUGCUAAUGAGUAAGCAGGAACAGUGGUAGUGCCGCAGAGGGGUACCGCGAAUUUUGUUAGUAUAAAUGGUCAUCUGGAUGGGCGGAUAGAUCUGUCCAAGAAGGGUGACAGCUUAGUAGAAGACAUAGUUGCUUCUGAUAAAUCUGAAGAAUCAAGAAUGCAAUCACAAAUGGGAAACCCUGCUCUUAUGGAGCUCACCAUUAUGGCUGCCUGACUUGGCUCAUAAACUCGCAAGCGUAUGAAUCUUGUCAAGUAAGGGAAAUAUUUAGACCUUAGUUAUCGUACCACGAGGAUUAGGUUGGACCUAACCAAGGUAAUCGGCUUAAGAAUACUAAAAGGCACACAAGAAAAAUAAAAUAAAGACAAAGAAAACUAUAAACAAACACUCAAGGCACCAAGCCUUGGCAAUGCUCGGCCUAGCUCACACUAAGCCUAAUCAAAACCACUAACUUGUACCUUAAGGGUGGUUAUGCACAAAUGAGUUGAUAGUUGAAAAGAAAUUGAAUUGGGGAUUAACUAAAUUAAUGCAAACUACAAUGAAAAGUAAACAACUAACUAACAAGUUAGAAAGUAAAUUUGGUUUUUCAAAUCAAUGGGGACAUGGGAAUGGUCUUGAGGCCAACCUCAUAAAUACAUGCAUUCCCUAAUGUGUCAAGUCUCAUAUCUAAUGCCGGUCAAGUCUCAUAUCUAUCCUUGAGGCCAACCUCAUAACCCUCUUGUAAAUAUUGACGCCAACCUCAUAAAUACAUGCAUUCCCUAAUGUGUCAAGUCUCAUAUCUAAUACCGGUUAGGGCUACUAGACCAAUUAUCCUUACGGUGUAUCGAUUAUGCCGGUUAAGGCCACAAUCAACUCUCUAAUAUAGGCACUACGCCGGUUAAGGCUGCAAUAUCUAAAUUAGAGGCCUAGAGUGCAAGAUAAUAGAGACCCAAGCAAGCUUAGCUACAAUUAAGCUAGCUAAUGGUUACCAUGCUCAAAUCCUAGAUGCCACAAGACUAACAAGUAGUCAACUCAUUAUUUUACUCAUCACAAUUGCUCACAACAUAAUUUCAAAAGGUGACUAGGCCUAGAAACAUGCUUCUAAGGACCAAUAAAAAUUGCCUACACAAUGAAAAUUGUAUGUAUUAUAAUUAAAGCAUCAAUGUCAUUACAAGAUGGGUUAGGGCUUCACAACCCUAACUCCCAAAGUCAAACUACUCACUACCCAUUAGCAAAUACAUCAUCCAAUACAUGAGAAAUGAAGAGAAAGGAUAGAGAAGAGAGAAACACAAGCUAGGUUCACCAAUUGCUAUGAGCAAGUAUGAACCACUUGAAAUUGAGUUUCCUCUCUUUACCAAACUUAAAUCUCCUUGUGUUGGUGAAGCCUUGAUGCUUGUUGGUGAGAGCCCUUCUUAAUCCCUUUUGAAGAUGAAAAUGGUCUUGAGGAGAAUGGUGGCCUUGAGGUGAAUGGAAGAGAAUGGUGAAGGGGUGCGGCUGUGUUUGUGAAGAAGAAAGAAGAGAGGAUAGAAUGAGAUGGUCCCCUAGGUCUCGGUGAGGCUGGUUUUGAUGAAGAGGAGCAGCUGCCACGUGACGCAAGCUGAAUGGAGGAGAGGACAAAAAGGAUGAAGCUUUGUGCUGCACGGUUGCACAAGAUUUGUUCACCUCAAUUAAUCAUACAAUGAUCAAUUAAUGAUUAAUUAGCUUAACGAAACUCCAGCUCUCUUUAAUUUCAAAUCCAUGUGCUUCAAUUUUGCUCAAAUAUCACCAUUUUCUAUCCGAAAUCCAAAUUUCCACUUAUUUUUUACAAAUAAAUAAAAUUAGAUUAAUUACAUUAUAAUUAACUUAAAGAUUAGUUAAAUCCUAACGUUAAAGUAGUAAUUACGUAUAUAUAAAUGCACGUAAUCACUGCCAAGUUAGCAUAUGAGAAUGCCAAACUCAUCAGAAGAAUCGUUAAUGAUGAUUGGGAGGCAAGCUAUUCUACUCUUGUUCUGUUUCUCCAUUUUACAUCUUUACAAUAGAUAGUACUUACUAGUUCAUGCAUUAACGGUUUUUCUGAUCACUUUGGC